CCCAGGUUCUGCAACUUCUCCAUCAGGAUUGUGGGAAUGAUGGUAUUAAAGGCUGAGUUAUAGUCAAUGAACAACAUCCUGACAUUGGCGACAUCGUCAAAGUGACCAGAAUGAACAUCAGUGGCCAGUGGGAGGGUGAAGUGAAUGGUCGGCAAGGACUCUUCCCCUUCACUCAUGUCCAGAUCAUCGACCCCCAGAAUCCUGAGGAGAAUGAGUGACCUGAAGGUCUGAACAUUUGGUCACCUCCAUCUGCCUGUUCAUCACACAGUCAGCAUCAACAUUUGGUGCAUUGCUUCCAGAUUAAAGGGGGACACAUCAUUUUGCAAUGGAAAAGCGAUUGGUUUUUUGAGUAUCUGCUUAGCUGCUGGAAUUUAACGUUUCUGUCUGAGCUGUUCCCAUUUCCCAUUAAAACAACACCAUUACUAACCAGUGGAAAUAGAGGAGAGGAACAGCGUCAGUCCCGGUGCCUCAGAUUGGAACUUGUAGUCAACUGGGAUAAGUGUGUAGUUGGCCAAGCCCCGAAAACUUGGAACACUCAAAUGGAUAUUCCUCCUUCCUAUGUUUAUCAAUAGUGGCAUGCAGGGAUGUGACUGAGACUCAAUACUGCAUUAUCCUGAACAGUGUCACAGCUGAAUGAAUGAGGAUCUGAACUCACCAGAAUGUUUUUCAAUCGUUUUCAAUACAACGUACAUAUAUAUAUAUAUAUUAGCCAGUUGUGCUGCAAACAACAUGUAGAGGAGUCACCAAUGUUUUUGGAUGCAAUCAGAUAGAUAGCUGUAGAUAACAAUCAUGGAUGUCUGUUAUACAAUUCUGUCACACCUGUAAAACAAGCUUUUAAAGGGGAAACACUCUGAAUAGACAGCAACAGAAUUAAUCAUCCAGAAAAGUUGCCUGCAGGAGUCAACAUACAUUUUGUGGAGUUGGGCAGUAUCAACCAAGACGUUUUGGGUUUGAAAGCGGGUAUUCUGCAGACUUGCCUGGGGACUCGUGUUUCACUCAAUGAGGAGCUGUUCGUAUCUCGGAAUAGGAAGGCCAGGGUUCCACUUUUAACAAUUAUCCUUGUCUGUUGUUCAGGAAAUUUAGAAACCUACGAAGCAGGCAGAAACUAUUCCCAUGGAAAUAUGUGCCUUUUUGUUUUGGAAAUAAUUUCCAAAGUGAAAGUUUCUUAAUCUACCACCUUGAUGGCUGAUGUUGUGUGUCAGACAAGAAUAAGUGCAUUAUUAACCACGUGCGUCCCACUGCCCUAUCAGUAGUGCUGAUCUAGUGCAGGUGAUGAUGGCAGCAGUUGAGUUUGCUUCGUGGCUGACACACUUCCUCACGUACACAAUGUGCAAGUGCACAGCCUCUCAAAAAAAAGCUAUCCUUUGACAGAACAAUCCAAUCUCAAACUGAGCUUUCUUUGACUUCUAUCCUCAGUUUUAGUUGAUUUUAUUUGAAGUUCAAGACUACAUUAAUACAUGUGCACUGAAUUAAUGAGCUGUGUGAGAAUAUUGUUAACUACGGUGCAACACUAAAAGCUGAGGCUUGUCACCCUGCCACACCUAUUAAUGGCUGCCCAUUUGGGCUUGGUCAGUAAUACCAACACAGAUAAUACCUGUUGAGUAAUUAUACAGAAAUUGUCCACCACGACCACAGGACUCAGAGGGGAAGGAUUCUUCUCUGGGAAGGUCAGUUGAUCAUUGGUUUCCAAUAUUUCAGCAGUGGUGGGUGAAUAAAUGGUGGCAGCCACGCAUGGGCAGGUGAGAAAUUGUUGCUAACUGGAUUUUCUUCAGAUAGGGUGGUUAUUUUAAUCUGUUUUGUGGCCCCUUGAAUAGUGUUUGACAAGUGGGCAUGAUUGUUGAUCAGGUUCAUAUUUCACAGAGCAUUAAACAAAUGCCUUGGUAGUUCUGCUGCAGGGGAGGGGGAAAUGUCACCAUCAAACCAAAGUAUGUACCUAGUGCCUAAAAAUCUGGAGCUGUGGAAGGAACCAGGUUGAAGUAGAUUAGGUAUCACAGUCCUGUCUGCUUAGAAGUGGGUUUUUAGAACUUGAGCAAAUACAAGAAUCAGUAAAAAGAUGUUUUGAAUAUCUGUUUCAUAUUCCUCCAGCUGUGAUUCUGGACUUGCUGUGUGAACAGGUCUUGGGUCAUAAUGAAACAGCAAUGUUCAUCCAGUGCACUGUUCAACACAAUCAUUCAAUGUUUUGAUGUCUCUAUGCAUCUGCUGAUGGUAAUAUUUUCGGCCUAGUUUGUUUUUUUUCCUUCAUCAAACCACUAUGGAUCCCUUGGCUUGCCUGCCAAGUUAUUACACUGGACUCCUGAAAUUGUGUCUAGUUGCCUGGAAUACAUUGAGGAUGGGUGAUGUUCUUAUAGCUCUCUGAAUGGGUUCCAGUUUCUGAGUGUUUCCCCUUUACAAGUUGAUAGCACAUGGCCCGCUUCUGUUCCUGCUUAGUUUAUGUCCGUUCACAAUAUUUUAAUUAGGCUUGUGCCAUGGGAAGGAAAUAAAGCUGGUAUUUGGUUCUGGAAGGUGUCAAACACUGAGUGCAGCCUGAAGCUGAACCAAACUGUGCAGGGCAGAUGUACCCACCUUCACUUGCUUGCCUUCCCACUACAUCUGUUGCCAAUAAAACUUGUUUACAACACUUCAAACUUGCAGAAGUUUUUAAUGCUUAGAUGAUCACAAAAUACCUCUGGUCUAUGUGCAUGUUAGUGACACUUUUAUUUUUGUAGAGAGCUUUUGAUGUGUGUUCCAGAAGCGCCAUUGAAUGCCUUUUAUUUAACCUUCUGGGAAUGGAGAGCAUUUGCCUGAGGAACAGUUCAUGUCAUGUCUAACCUUUGACUGAAUAAAUCUUGUAUUUUAAAUGCAAGUGCCAAGAACUAAGCUUUGCUUGCAACCCCAGUAAAUCCAUAAAAUACCCUUAACUGGGCAGUUUUGAAUCUUUUGAUUUGUUUCAGAAGUUAACAGUAUUACAAAUUGGCCUUUUUUUCAGGGGACAUUAAGAGUAUGUUUUACUUUUUGUUCACAAUGUAGUGUCUUAGUUUUCUUCACUGAAUUCAAUUGUGGAAGUAUCCCAGCAGAUCAGUGUGUUGCUGGUUUGUAUAUAGCAAAUAAACUUUACAUUAAUCUACAA
Mobula hypostoma (lesser devil ray) is the source of this 3106-nucleotide long non-coding RNA. RefSeq lists it as uncharacterized. The record is from RefSeq and is a predicted model, not a curated record. The transcript has 2 exons. NCBI's taxonomy places the organism in Eukaryota, Metazoa, Chordata, Chondrichthyes, Myliobatiformes, Myliobatidae.